CCUGCACCUCAUCUCCUCGUUAGACCAGUUAGUUUUUAAGUCCUGUUCAGUCUUUGUUGGUUCUGUUUUGUUCUGUUUAGAUUCCUGCAUGCACUCCGGUUUGCUCUUCACUCCUAACAAAGAGUUUUCUUCAGACCUGCUUCACCUUCAGUCUCAGAAUUUGGGUCCAUUCCUGCUACUCACCGAGACAUAAAGUAGCAUCACAUGGAAAUACUCAACCUCAGAAGUUGCCGCUUGGUCUUCACAUGUCCAAUAGAUUCUUCCCACAUGAUAACCGCUGGAAUCAACCUGAAAAUCGAUGGAGUCGUCCUUUAAGGCUCUCUGCUGCCAUCUGCUGCUCACAUGAAGUUACUGCAGCAACAAACUGGACCAGAUGCACAGAAGUGUUUCAGCAGUUAGUGAAGAGGAAAUUCAUUUCAUGUUUUGCUGUUUUUUCUGUUUCUGUGAGUUUAGCAGCUCUUUUACUGUCUCGUUGUGUCUUAUUGUGUUGGUGUUUUUAUGGCUCUCGCGGGACAAUAAAGAUCUGACGUGAACUUAAAAAGAUACUUGAAGACUUUGUGAAGUUUGAUGUUUGAACUGUUUAUUCAAAUCACAUAAAAGAUGCAGAAGAGUUGAAAUCUGUUCUUGAAUCUUUUAACUGAAACUUUAGAUCAUCAGAUAUUUGUAAUUUAAUAUUUUCUCUCAGUAGUUUGUUGUGAUUCAUCAGAGCAGAGAGGAUCUCUGCGUUCUGUUUGUGAACAGAUAAAUAAUAUUUAAGCAGAAGGAAACUGUAACACGUCUUCUGUCUGUUCUUCAUCUCGCUGCUGUUUGGACUUUCAGUUUGUUUCAGGUUUGAUUUUAUGAACUCUAUGUCAAGAAGGUGUGAGUGGAGCAGGUGGACCCAAAUGCAGAUGGUGGCAGGCAGGAUCAGAUGCAGAAAUAUUUAAUUAAAUAAUUCAAAACAGUUACAGGAGACACUGAGACACAGGAACAAACAUAGAAUAAAUGCAGGACAUAAACGCAGUACGAAAGCAGACGACUCGACAAAGACCGAACUGAAAACUGGACUAUAAAUGCACAGGGUGCACAGGUGAGGGAAACGAGACACAGGUG
Molecule: long non-coding RNA, 1092 nt
Organism: Thunnus maccoyii (southern bluefin tuna)
Lineage: Eukaryota; Metazoa; Chordata; Actinopteri; Scombriformes; Scombridae
Exons: 3
Source: RefSeq, a predicted model, not a curated record